UUAAGCGACUAAGCGUACACGGUGGAUGCCCUGGCAGUCAGAGGCGAUGAAGGACGUGCUAAUCUGCGAAAAGCGUCGGUAAGGUGAUAUGAACCGUUAUAGCCGGCGAUGUCCGAAUGGGGAAACCCAGUGCAAUUCGUUGCACUAUCGUUAACUGAAUACAUAGGUUAACGAGGCGAACCGGGGGAACUGAAACAUCUAAGUACCCCGAGGAAAAGAAAUCAACCGAGAUUCCCCCAGUAGCGGCGAGCGAACGGGGAGCAGCCCAGAGUCUGAAUCAGCUUGUGUGUUAGUGGAACGGUCUGGAAAGUCCGACGGUACAGGGUGAUAGUCCCGUACACCAAAAUGCACAGGCUGUGAACUCGAAGAGUAGGGCGGGACACGUGGUAUCCUGUCUGAAUAUGGGGGGACCAUCCUCCAAGGCUAAAUACUCCUGACUGACCGAUAGUGAACCAGUACCGUGAGGGAAAGGCGAAAAGAACCCCGGCGAGGGGAGUGAAAAAGAACCUGAAACCGUGUACGUACAAGCAGUGGGAGCACCUUCGGGUGUGACUGCGUACCUUUUGUAUAAUGGGUCAGCGACUUAUAUUCUGUAGCAAGGUUAACCGUAUAGGGGRGCCGCAGGGAAACCGAGUCUUAACUGGGCGUUAAGUUGCAGGGUAUAGACCCGAAACCCGGUGAUCUAGCCAUGGGCAGGUUGAAGGUUGGGUAACACUAACUGGAGGACCGAACCGACUAAUGUUGAAAAAUUAGCGGAUGACUUGUGGCUGGGGGUGAAAGGCCAAUCAAACCGGGAGAUAGCUGGUUCUCCCCGAAAGCUAUUUAGGUAGCGCCUCGUGAACUCAUCUUCGGGGGUAGAGCACUGUUUCGGCUAGGGGGUCAUCCCGACUUACCAACCCGAUGCAAACUACGAAUACCGAAGAAUGUUAUCACGGGAGACACACGGCGGGUGCUAACGUCCGUCGUGAAGAGGGAAACAACCCAGACCGCCAGCUAAGGUCCCAAAGUCAUGGUUAAGUGGGAAACGAUGUGGGAAGGCACAGACAGCCAGGAUGUUGGCUUAGAAGCAGCCAUCAUUUAAAGAAAGCGUAAUAGCUCACUGGUCGAGUCGGCCUGCGCGGAAGAUGUAACGGGGCUAAACCAUGCACCGAAGCUGCGGCAGCGACACUAUGUGUUGUUGGGUAGGGGAGCGUUCUGUAAGCCUGCGAAGGUGUGCUGUGAGGCAUGCUGGAGGUAUCAGAAGUGCGAAUGCUGACAUAAGUAACGAUAAAGCGGGUGAAAAGCCCGCUCGCCGGAAGACCAAGGGUUCCUGUCCAACGUUAAUCGGGGCAGGGUGAGUCGACCCCUAAGGCGAGGCCGAAAGGCGUAGUCGAUGGGAAACAGGUUAAUAUUCCUGUACUUGGUGUUACUGCGAAGGGGGGACGGAGAAGGCUAUGUUAGCCGGGCGACGGUUGUCCCGGUUUAAGCAUGUAGGCUGGUUGUCCAGGCAAAUCCGGAUAAUCAAGGCUGAGGUGUGAUGACGAGGCACUACGGUGCUGAAGUAACAAAUGCCCUGCUUCCAGGAAAAGCCUCUAAGCAUCAGGUAACAUCAAAUCGUACCCCAAACCGACACAGGUGGUCAGGUAGAGAAUACCAAGGCGCUUGAGAGAACUCGGGUGAAGGAACUAGGCAAAAUGGUGCCGUAACUUCGGGAGAAGGCACGCUGGUGUGUAGGUGAAGUCCCUGCGGAUGGAGCUGAGACCAGUCGAAGAUACCAGCUGGCUGCAACUGUUUAUUAAAAACACAGCACUGUGCAAACACGAAAGUGGACGUAUACGGUGUGACGCCUGCCCGGUGCCGGAAGGUUAAUUGAUGGGGUUAUCCGUAAGGAGAAGCUCUUGAUCGAAGCCCCGGUAAACGGCGGCCGUAACUAUAACGGUCCUAAGGUAGCGAAAUUCCUUGUCGGGUAAGUUCCGACCUGCACGAAUGGCGUAAUGAUGGCCAGGCUGUCUCCACCCGAGACUCAGUGAAAUUGAACUCGCUGUGAAGAUGCAGUGUACCCGCGGCAAGACGGAAAGACCCCGUGAACCUUUACUAUAGCUUGACACUGAACAUUGAGCCUUGAUGUGUAGGAUAGGUGGGAGGCUUUGAAGCGUGGACGCCAGUCUGCGUGGAGCCAACCUUGAAAUACCACCCUUUAAUGUUUGAUGUUCUAACGUUGGCCCCUGACCGGGGUUGCGGACAGUGUCUGGUGGGUAGUUUGACUGGGGCGGUCUCCUCCUAAAGCGUAACGGAGGAGCACGAAGGUUAGCUAAUCCUGGUCGGACAUCAGGAGGUUAGUGCAAUGGCAUAAGCUAGCUUGACUGCGAGCGUGACGGCGCGAGCAGGUGCGAAAGCAGGUCAUAGUGAUCCGGUGGUUCUGAAUGGAAGGGCCAUCGCUCAACGGAUAAAAGGUACUCCGGGGAUAACAGGCUGAUACCGCCCAAGAGUUCAUAUCGACGGCGGUGUUUGGCACCUCGAUGUCGGCUCAUCACAUCCUGGGGCUGAAGUAGGUCCCAAGGGUAUGGCUGUUCGCCAUUUAAAGUGGUACGCGAGCUGGGUUUAGAACGUCGUGAGACAGUUCGGUCCCUAUCUGCCGUGGGCGCUGGAGAAUUGRGGGGGGCUGCUCCUAGUACGAGAGGACCGGAGUGGACGCAUCACUGGUGUUCGGGUUGUCAUGCCAAUGGCACUGCCCGGUAGCUAAAUGCGGAAGAGAUAAGUGCUGAAAGCAUCUAAGCACGAAACUUGCCCCGAGAUGAGUUCUCCCUGAGACUUUAAGUCUCCUGAAGGAACGUUGAAGACGACGACGUUGAUAGGCCGGGUGUGUAAGCGCAGCGAUGCGUUGAGCUAACCGGUACUAAUGAACCGUGAGGCUUAACCUU
This 2900-nucleotide ribosomal RNA is filed under the name Klebsiella pneumoniae. RNAcentral's name for it is "bacterial LSU rRNA". It matches the Rfam family "Bacterial large subunit ribosomal RNA". Lineage: Bacteria; Pseudomonadati; Pseudomonadota; Gammaproteobacteria; Enterobacterales; Enterobacteriaceae. The record is from RNAcentral.